UACGAAGGGGGCUAGCGUCGCUCGGAAUUACUGGGCGUAAAGGGAGCGUAGGCGGGUUAUCAAGUUGGAGGUGAAAGCCCAGGGCUCAACCUUGGAAUUGCCUUCAAAACUGAUAACCUAGAGGAUAGAAGAGGUAAGUGGAACUCCGAGUGUAGAGGUGAAAUUCGUAGAUAUUCGGAAGAACACCAGUGGCGAAGGCGACUUACUGGUCUAUUACUGACGCUGAGGCUCGAAAGCGUGGGGAGCAAACAGG
This 253-nucleotide ribosomal RNA is filed under the name uncultured bacterium. RNAcentral's name for it is "partial 16S ribosomal RNA". It matches the Rfam family "Bacterial small subunit ribosomal RNA", at positions 524 to 776 of the family's 1533-position model. The record is from RNAcentral.